This 301-nucleotide ribosomal RNA is filed under the name uncultured bacterium. Its description in RNAcentral is "partial 16S ribosomal RNA". It matches the Rfam family "Bacterial small subunit ribosomal RNA", at positions 509 to 808 of the family's 1533-position model. The record is from RNAcentral.
CAGUCGCCGCGGGAAUACGUAGGUCCCGAGCGUUGUCCGGAUUUAUUGGGCGUAAAGGGAGCGCAGGCGGUUUAGUAAGUCUGGAGUUAAAGGCAUUGGCUCAACCAAUGUAUGCUUUGGAAACUGUUUGACUUGAGUGCAGAAGAGGAGAGUGGAAUUCCACGUGUAGCGGUGAAAUGCGUAGAGAUGUGGAGGAACACCAGUGGCGAAAGCGGCUCUCUGGUCUGUAACUGACGCCGAGGCUCGAAAGCGUGGGGAGCAAACAGGAUUAGAUACCCGAGUAGUCCCUGUCUCUUAUACA